RNAcentral lists this transfer RNA (87 nucleotides) under Chloroflexota bacterium. RNAcentral describes it as "Chloroflexi bacterium (hot springs metagenome) tRNA-Leu". It matches the Rfam family "tRNA". Rfam says of the family: Transfer RNA (tRNA) molecules are approximately 80 nucleotides in length. Their secondary structure includes four short double-helical elements and three loops (D, anti-codon, and T loops). The record is from RNAcentral. Lineage: Bacteria; Bacillati; Chloroflexota.
GCCGAAGUGGCGGAACGGCAGACGCGCUACGUUCAGGGCGUAGUGGGGGGACCCCCCGUGGGAGUUCAAAUCUCCCCUUCGGCACCA